AGGACGAACGCUGGCGGCGUGCUUAACACAUGCAAGUCGAGCGGAAAGGCCCUUCGGGGUACUCGAGCGGCGAACGGGUGAGUAACACGUGAGCAACCUGCCCUUAGCUCUGGGAUAGCUCCGGGAAACCGGAAUUAAUACCGGAUAUGACCUAGGCCGACAUCGGCCGUGGUGGAAAGUUUUUCGGCUAGGGAUGGACUCGCGGCCUAUCAGCUAGUUGGUGGGGUAAUGGCCUACCAAGGCGACGACGGGUAGCCGGCCUGAGAGGGCGACCGGCCACACUGGGACUGAGACACGGCCCAGACUCCUACGGGAGGCAGCAGUGGGGAAUCUUGCGCAAUGGGCGAAAGCCUGACGCAGCGACGCCGCGUGGGGGAUGAAGGCCUUCGGGUUGUAAACCCUUUCAGCAGGGACGAAGCGAAAGUGACGGUACCUGCAGAAGAAGCGCCGGCUAACUGCGUGCCAGCAGCCGC
This 473-nucleotide ribosomal RNA is filed under the name uncultured bacterium. Its description in RNAcentral is "SSU rRNA". It matches the Rfam family "Bacterial small subunit ribosomal RNA", at positions 26 to 518 of the family's 1533-position model. The record is from RNAcentral.